This 274-nucleotide ribosomal RNA is filed under the name uncultured bacterium. RNAcentral's name for it is "partial 16S ribosomal RNA". It matches the Rfam family "Bacterial small subunit ribosomal RNA", at positions 523 to 796 of the family's 1533-position model. The record is from RNAcentral.
AUACGAAGGGGGCUAGCGUUGUUCGGAAUUACUGGGCGUAAAGCGCGCGUAGGCGGAUUGGUCAGUUAGGGGUGAAAUCCCAGGGCUUAACCCUGGAACUGCCUCUAAUACUGCCAGUCUUGAGUUCGCGAGAGGUGAGUGGAAUUCCUAGUGUAGAGGUGAAAUUCGUAGAUAUUAGGAAGAACACCAGUGGCGAAGGCGGCUCACUGGCCCGAUACUGACGCUGAGGCGCGAAAGCGUGGGGAGCAAACAGCAUUAGAAACCCUAGUAGUCC